This 468-nucleotide ribosomal RNA is filed under the name uncultured bacterium. Its description in RNAcentral is "partial 16S ribosomal RNA". It matches the Rfam family "Bacterial small subunit ribosomal RNA", at positions 28 to 507 of the family's 1533-position model. The record is from RNAcentral.
GACGAACGCUGGCGGCGUGCUUAACACAUGCAAGUCGAACGGAAAGGCCCUGCUUUUGUGGUGUGCUCGAGUGGCGAACGGGUGAGUAACACGUGAGUAACCUGCUCUUCAUUUUGGUAUAACUUCAGGAAACUUGGCUUACUAUCGUAUAGCAGCCCCCGUUGCAUUGUGGGGGUUGGAAAUUUUCGGCUGGUGCGGUUGGACUCGCGGCUUAUCAGCUUGUUGGUUGGCUAGUGGCUUACCAAGGCAGUGACGGGUCGCCGGCCUGAGAGGGUAACCGGGCACAAUACGACUGAGAUACGGCCCAGAGUCCUACGUGAGGCAGUAGUGGGGAGUAUGACACAACGAGCGGGAGCCUGAGGCAGAAACGCCGCGGGCGGGAAGACGGCCUUCGGGUUAUAAAACGCUUUCGCCUGUGACGAAGCGUGAGUGACGGUAAUGGGUGAAGAAGCACCGGCUAACUACGUG